GAUGAACGCUAGCGAUAGGCCUAACACAUGCAAGUCGAGGGGCAGCAUAGAGUAGCAAUACUUUGAUGGCGACCGGCGCACGGGUGAGUAACACGUAUGCAACCUACCUACUUCAGGGGAAUAACCCGGAGAAAUUCGGACUAAUACCGCAUGAUACAGGGAUGCCGCAUGGCAAUAUUUGUUAAAGAUUUAUCGGAUGUAGAUGGGCAUGCGUUCCAUUAGCUAGUUGGUAAGGUAACGGCUUACCAAGGCAACGAUGGAUAGGGGAACUGCGAGGUUUGUCCCCCACGCUGGAACUGAGACACGGACCAGACUCCUACGGGAGGCAGCAGUGAGGAAUAUUGGUCAAUGGACGAGAGUCUGAACCAGCCAAAUCGCGUGAAGGAAGACUGCCCUACGGGUUGUAAACUUCUUUUGUACAGGAAUAAAAGACAUUACGUGUAAUGUAUUGCAUGUACUGUACGAAUAAGCAUCGGCUAACUCCGUGCCAGCCGCCGCAGUAA
This 503-nucleotide ribosomal RNA is filed under the name uncultured bacterium. RNAcentral describes it as "partial 16S ribosomal RNA". It matches the Rfam family "Bacterial small subunit ribosomal RNA", at positions 28 to 523 of the family's 1533-position model. The record is from RNAcentral.